CGGUUAUACCAAGUGAUUAAGUUAUAUUCUUAGGUAAAAAGACAGUUAGGUUUAAAUAGAAUAUUUUAGUUUAUUAAACGUCUAUAGAAAAGUAAAAUUUGUAUAUAGAUAGCUAAUCUAAAAAUAACUAUAUAUACACUGAAGCUGUGAUAGUCUUGAGGGAAACUGGGAUUAGAUACCCCAUUAUUCUUGAUUGUAAAUAUAAUUAAAUUUACCAGAGUACUAUGAAUAGUUAAAAAUUUAAAACUCAAAGGGCUUGGCGGUGUUUUAGACCUAUCAGGGGAACCUGUCUCGUAAUCGACAAUCCACGUAAUAUCUAACCCUAGUUUGUAAUCAGUUUGUAUACCGCUCGUCGUCAGGUAACUUUUAAACAAUAUAGAAGUUAGCAAUUAAAACUUACCUAGUUAAAACGUCAGAUCAAGGUGCAGCCUAUAGUAGGGAGAGGAUGGGUUACAGUUAUAAAAUUUGUAAUCACGGAAAUUUAAAUGGAACUUAUUUUGAAGGAGGACUUGAAAGUACACUAAAUGUACAUAUUUAGUUUGAAUAAGGCUCUG
RNAcentral lists this ribosomal RNA (554 nucleotides) under Nassarius ocellatus. RNAcentral's name for it is "partial 12S ribosomal RNA". Lineage: Eukaryota; Metazoa; Mollusca; Gastropoda; Neogastropoda; Nassariidae. The record is from RNAcentral.